UGUCGAUGGAGGUUGGCGGCUAUAUGUAACAUAGUAUUUACAUAAUUAGGUACUACUCUCUUCUAGAUUUUUCAACAUGAAGUACCAAAAAAUCAUUUUUCAAAUUCAUUUCUAUAUUGGUUUCGCAGGUUGUAUUGUAACCCCAAUAUUAUAGACUAGGGAGAGGGUUGAACGCGCUCAUAAACAUGUUUCUAAUUUCAGCUUCAUUCUGUAUGUAUUUGCCUGUCCCAAGUCAGGAGCAUGUAAUUUUUUGGUUGUCGUUUGUGGAUGUGUUACAUACUUGUUUUUCGUUUAUUUUUUUGUACAUAAAUUAGGCCGUUAGUUUCUCGUUUGAAUUGUUUUUCAUUUGUCAUUUUGUUCAGCUGACUAUGUGGUAUUGGUUUUGCUCAUUGUUGAAGGCCAUACGUCGACCUAUAGUUGUUAAUUUCUGUGUCAUUUGGUCUGUUGUGGACAUUUGCCUUAUUGGCAAUCUUACCACAUCUUUUUUUUUAUAUUCACCGCCUCUAUCUUUAUGUGCCGGUCCUAACUCAGCAUCCUGUAAUUCAGUCAGCUUCACUUGUUUUUAUAUUUGAUGUUUUGACCAAAAUUCAAGGUGUUGAUAAUAAACUCAUCAUAGAUAC
Molecule: long non-coding RNA, 620 nt
Filed under: Mytilus galloprovincialis (Mediterranean mussel)
Lineage: Eukaryota; Metazoa; Mollusca; Bivalvia; Mytilida; Mytilidae
Source: RNAcentral